This 492-nucleotide ribosomal RNA is filed under the name uncultured bacterium. RNAcentral's name for it is "partial 16S ribosomal RNA". It matches the Rfam family "Bacterial small subunit ribosomal RNA", at positions 29 to 507 of the family's 1533-position model. The record is from RNAcentral.
AGUGAACGCUGGCGGUAGGCCUAACACAUGCAAGUCGAACGGCAGCACAGUAAGAGCUUGCUCUUACGGGUGGCGAGUGGCGGACGGGUGAGGAAUACAUCGGAAUCUACUUUUUCGUGGGGGAUAACGUAGGGAAACUUACGCUAAUACCUCAUACGACCUACGGGUGAAAGCAGGGGAUCUUCGGACCUUGCGCGAUUGAAUGAGCCGAUGUCGGAUUAGCUAGUUGGCGGGGUAAAGGCCCACCAAGGCGACGAUCCGUAGCUUGUCUGAGAGGAUGAUCAGCCACACUGGAACUGAGACACGGUCCAGACUCCUACGGGAGGCAGCAGUGGGGAAUAUUGGACAAUGGGCGCAAGCCUGAUCCAGCCAUACCGCGUGGGUGAAGAAGGCCUUCGGGUUGUAAAGCCCUUUUGUUGGGAAAGAAAAGCAGCAGGUUAAUACCCCGCUGUUCUGACGGUACCAAAAGAAUAAGCACCGGCUAACUUCGUG